Drosophila melanogaster (fruit fly) is the source of this 694-nucleotide non-coding RNA. NCBI's taxonomy places the organism in Eukaryota, Metazoa, Arthropoda, Insecta, Diptera, Drosophilidae. The record is from Ensembl.
AGUAUGUUCGUGCGCUCUUUCAGUUUUUGUAAACCACUCAAGAGAGUUUCACAUGUAACGGCCGCUCUUAAGUUCUCUUUAGCAAAAAUUCUCAUCCCCCAGUUUGCGCUCCAAUUUUCACUCACUUCGUCUUUCACAGCUGAUUCUUUUGCUCUCAGCUGGAGCUGGUCGGCGAAACAUAUUAACUGGAACAGGCUCUCUUAUUGGCUUUUCCUGCUAAAAAGUGCCAUAAUUAUAGUUAUUUGCUGCAUUUUUAAAUGCACUGAACGUUAAUUAAUGGUUUGCUAUAUUAUUAAGCUGAUUUUCAUGCAUUUAUCGCACAGCUCUCUGUCUCUCGCUGCUCAAAACUUGCAGUAAUUUUACUGGCUCUCCCGCUGCUCUUUCAUUGGGCUUGCAGCUGUUUCGCUCAUCAGAUGUUUCUGAGUCGAGCCUCCCACUGCCCCCCGCACCGACACAAACCAGCAGCACUAUGUGCAACUGUAUGUGUAUUUGCAUUGUGUACACAAAAUCAGCCGCUGCCCUCUGUCGACGUCUCUGCGGGCAGCGCAGCUCCAAGCGCAGCCAGUGAAAUACAUACAUUCGUACGUACGUACGUACAUAUCUAUAUAUCUUGAUUUUCCAACUCGUUUCGCGCAGUCAACGCGCCCCCCAAAAACACACACACACACACUUUCAUAUAUGUAUGCAGCAGUAC